This 1207-nucleotide long non-coding RNA is filed under the name Nicotiana tabacum (common tobacco). Its description in RNAcentral is "long non-coding RNA (NTAB_LNC016551)". The record is from RNAcentral. Lineage: Eukaryota; Viridiplantae; Streptophyta; Magnoliopsida; Solanales; Solanaceae.
GGACGCUGGCAUGUAUACCUUGGAGUCUCCACGUACAACUAGCUCACUAAUACCUAGUCUGAUAGGAAGUACUUGGAUCUGCACACAAAAAUGUGCAGAAGUGUAGUAUGAGCACACUACAGCAGUGCCCAGCAAGUGUCAAGCCUAACCUCGGUUGAGUAGUGACGAGGUCAAGUCAGGGCCCUACUGGAAAAAUAAUAAAAGACAAGGCAAUAAGUUCAACAAUAUGAUAAUAGUAAUGACAAAUGGAAACAAGUCACAUAAGGAACAUAUCAAAAUUUAACAACACGGAAUAAGAUCAAUUAAUAAUAACUUACUAAAGAGAAAGCUUUAAUUUAAUAAAUAAAAAUGAUAGAAUAACUAGAAAGUAAAUGCAACCAUAAAGAAAUAUCAACAGGGGAACUUUCGAGGUACCGCCUCGUAGUCCCAAAUCAUAAAUAAAUUCACAACAUCCCAUUUCCUUAUAUCAUCGCGGAAGCCUUCACAUUUAAUUUUUUUAAAAAAAUAUAUUUUUCCGAAAUAGCGUCCCGCGUUUUAGCCACCCUUAUCUCACCGCAUGACUUCUAGUAGUUCCCCUACUAGCCACGCGUAUCAAGCCACCCUUAUCUCACCAUAUGUGUUUCAAUACCCAGACCUUAUAUCGCCGCAUGCGUAUUAAUAUCACAAUUUGUACCUCAAAUGGUCAAAUAUUUCUACUUACCAAAAUAAAUUAACAACAACUAUAUUUUCCACAAUAAGGAGCUAGCGGCUCAAUCACAAUGAAUAUAAAAAUUUCAACAAAUAAUGAUUUCCCAAAUUUAGCACCUUGAUUCCAUACCCAUUUUUAAAAUGCCAAAUACUUCAUAUAAAAAAAUAAUUAAAUUAAGAAAACACAACCUUCAAAUAAUGAGCACAAAUAAAAGAAAUAAAGCUUCAAUUUAACAGAUAGGCAAUUAGCAAGAAAAGGUCAGACAAGUUUCACUUAUAUGAAAAUAAUUUAAUGACAAUGAAUAAAACAUGAAUAAAUGAUUUAAUUAAUAUGCAACAGUGAUCUACACAAAUUAAAAGUAUAACCUUCCACAUUUAGUCUGUGUACGCACUCGUCACCUUAUGUACACGACUUUCAUUUAGCACAUUAAUACCAAUCCUAGGGGAAAGUCCCUCACACAAGGUUAGACAAGUCACUUACCUCAAGUCACGCUAACUCAAUCCACUAGUAGGUCUUUCC